This 407-nucleotide ribosomal RNA is filed under the name uncultured bacterium. Its description in RNAcentral is "partial 16S ribosomal RNA". It matches the Rfam family "Bacterial small subunit ribosomal RNA", at positions 30 to 526 of the family's 1533-position model. The record is from RNAcentral.
AUUGAACGCUGGCGGCAGGCCUAACACAUGCAAGUCGAGCGGAGCGGCGGACGGGUGAGUAUUGCCUAGGAAUCUGCCUGGUAGUGGGGGAUAACGUCCGGAAACCGGCGCUAAUACCGCAUACUAUCAGAUGAGCCUAGGUCGGAUUAGAUAGUUGGUGGGGUUAAGGCCUACCAAGGCGACGAUCCCUAACUGGUCUGAGAGGAUGAUCAGUCCCACUGGGACUUGGACCCGGUCCAGACUCCUACGGGAGGCAGCAGUGGUGAAUAUUGGACAAUGGGCGAAAUCCUGAUGCAGCCAUGCCGCGUGUGUGAAGGAGGUCUUCGGAUUAUAAAGCACUUUAAGUUGGGAGGCGUUACCAGCAGAAUAAGCACCGGCUAACUUCGUGCCAGCAGCCGCGGUAAUAC